CUUGAAGCAGUGAUUGAGCACCUGGUGGGAAGGCAGGCACAACUCAGAGGAGCUCAGGUGCAUGCAGUGUAUCUGAAUGACUGGAAGGACUGGAGCCAGGAUCCACCCCUUCUCAGAUCUCAUUUAAGGGCUGGCAGCCCAGAGUGGGUAAAGAGGGCGUUCUGCAUCACAGUCUUGUGCUGUUGCUUCGUAAGAGAGCCAGGAGUAAUACCCUAGCACAGCACAAAAUGGAAGUGGGAAGACGGGAUAAGUUGAAGAUGGGACUAACAUACACAGAUGUUUGAAUGGACUUUAUUCUUCAUUAAAAUACAACUGCUGGUGGGAUUAAGGAAGGAGUAUGUCACCACUGAGAUUAUGAAGCAGUGGGUGUCUUCAAGAAGAUGAAUACACAAGAAUAGUCACCACCUUUAGCUAUGCAUUUUCACUGAGAUGAACAAGAGCCUGCAUGCCACCACUGCUGAAACAGCAUUCAGUGCCUCACUGUGUUCACAUCCACUGUUGGACCUCCAAAAAUGUUCAGCAAGCAUCACUGAAUUUCAACUGGUGCAUUUUUUUCUGCAUGGAGGAAUUAAAUUAAAACAAAAAACAACCUGUGUUCAGGAAAAAACAAAAGCCACACCCAGUAUAUUGUAACUGUGACUCAGCCUUGCAUUGGUCCAAUGUUGUGAAGUUAUGGGCCUAAUUUUGAAAAGGUUUUAUUUGUCAGCUCAUUUCCAGCAGACUCAGGAUGGAAAUGAGCCUUUGCAGACAACUAAGAAACAGGAAAUUCAGUAUGCAGAACUCUUCUCCAAACAUGAUGAACUCAACCAUUUUCCUCUCUCAGUAGCAAUGUCAUAAAGAUUUCAUGUUUCUAGAAGUAUCUUUCUUAGAAUUCAUCUAAAUCACACGUGUAUACAAGACGUGCUGCAAAAAGAUGAAUGAUGUUCGUAUGAAAUAUUUAAACAUCAACAAAAAUUUCAAUUAAUCACCUUUCACCACAGUCCAUACUAGCUAUCCUGAUUCCAUUCUUUAAAUUUUCACAAAAGCUAACAUGGAAUUCAGGAAUGGUACUUUCAAAGUGUGCUUUCAAUUUACUUCAGUGGUUAAAAUUAUACUUACUUCUGAUGUUAUGAUUUAUAAAAUUUGUGUCACAAAAGAGUAUAUAUAGAUAUUAUAGAUAUAUAAAU
Molecule: long non-coding RNA, 1166 nt
Filed under: Gallus gallus (chicken)
Lineage: Eukaryota; Metazoa; Chordata; Aves; Galliformes; Phasianidae
Description: lncRNA (ENSGALG00010004854.1)
Source: RNAcentral